AAUAAAUUUCAUUAAAAAAUUGGAAAUUGCAACAGAAAUGCAUUUUUAACCAUAAAUAAUACGUUGACAGUUGUAAUUUUCGAAAGUAAUCAAGUGUAGCUAAUUAACAACAGCAACUGCAGUUCGAGUCAAGUCGCAAAAGGUGCGCACUUCAAAUGGAGGGCGUGGCAAGCAGCUAACGAUGCGCCCCCCAUAUGAUGAGCAAUGGAUAACGUGUAGAGAGCUGGCGACCCCAGCGACAUGUCGAGCAUACAUAAGGUUGACGUUGCCUGGUCUUAACAUUUAAUACCAAUAUGACAGACCCAGGAUCCAUGGCCAGAGCCAGAGGCAGAGCCAGUGGCAAUGGCAGUUGCAGUAUGUGUAAGAUGAAUGAGCAUGAAUUAUAAACACAUAAAAAACAACAAUGCGAACAACUCGGUGCUGGCCAGUGAAAAUAGUUAGUUGCUGCUCGAAGCUGUUGUUGCUGUUGUUGUAACUGCAGCUGACAUUUCAGUUAAUUUUGAUGUAUGUGCCCGGGGCCGGAGGGGGCGUCGCCCAUACAAGAGGAUGUAACUAUGGCUAUGUGUGGGUUCCCUAGUACUGAGCACCGAGCACCGAGCACCACCGAGCACCACCGAGCAUCGAGCCCGGAGCUGUUGUUAAACCAAACGGAUUUCCACUCGAGGCUGGGGGAGAGAAGGGCCAGCAACGAACGCUUGAAAUAACAAUAACAACUAUGCACAGGAAUGAUAUGUGGGCUCGUAAAUGUUCACGUGCAAGCUGCUACACCUGCCGCUUAAUUAUGAACAGCAACUAUCAAAGAGCCGUAACUGAUUAACUAAAUGCACAUAAACAUGAAAAACAACAUGAAAGCGAAAGGAAACCGAGAAAGGGAGAGUGCACAGGCCACAGGACAUAGCACCGAGGGCAGAGGGAGCGCCACGCACGAGUAGCAGCAUCCCAGCAGCAACCCCUGUUAAAAAUGAUCUAUGUUCUGGCACUGGAGU
Long non-coding RNA from Drosophila novamexicana, 986 nucleotides. RefSeq lists it as uncharacterized. The transcript is spliced from 3 exons. Lineage: Eukaryota; Metazoa; Arthropoda; Insecta; Diptera; Drosophilidae. The record is from RefSeq and is a predicted model, not a curated record.